CCUACGGGUCGCAGCAGUGAGGAAUAUUGGUCAAUGGCCGGAAGGCUGAACCAGCCAUGCCGCGUGAAGGUCAGUGCCCUAUGGGCGUUAAACUUCUUUUGUGCGGGAGCAAUAAUGGUCACGUGUGGCCAGACGAGAGUACCGUACGAAUAAGCAUCGGCUAACUCCGUUCCAGCAGCCGCGGUAAUACGGGGGAUGCAAGCGUUAUCCGGAUUUAUUGGGUUUAAAGGGUGCGUAGGCUGUGAGGUAAGUCAGCGGUGAAAUGCCCCCGCUCAACGGGGUGAAGUGCCAUUGAUACUGCCUGGCUGGAAUGCGGAUGCCGUGGGAGGAAUGUGUGGUGUAGCGGUGAAAUGCAUAGAUAUCACACAGAACACCGAUUGCGAAGGCAUCUCACGAAGCCGCGAUUGACGCUGAUGCACGAAAGCGUGGGUAUCAAACAGGAUUAGAUACCCUUGUAGUC
RNAcentral lists this ribosomal RNA (460 nucleotides) under uncultured bacterium. RNAcentral describes it as "partial 16S ribosomal RNA". It matches the Rfam family "Bacterial small subunit ribosomal RNA", at positions 338 to 795 of the family's 1533-position model. The record is from RNAcentral.